Molecule: transfer RNA, 72 nt
Filed under: Marmota monax (woodchuck)
Lineage: Eukaryota; Metazoa; Chordata; Mammalia; Rodentia; Sciuridae
Description: tRNA.Ala
Source: RNAcentral
UGUGGCUCAGCUCAGCGGUAGAGUGAUCGCCUAGCAUGCGUGAGGCCCUGGGUUCCAUCCUCAGCACCACAU